AUUUUUGUAUUGUUAAAGGUAGAGCCACACAAGUUGCAAAAGACAACAGAAAAUAAAUAAUAUAAAAUAAAAAUAGAUAAUUUUUAUCGUCUAAAAUUAUAAGACAUUAUUGGUCUUGCAAUUAAAGCCCCGGCGUAAUGGGUUAACACAGAACAGCCCAACAGGAUGCAAUCUUUUUUUCAACGCUUCACAGACCGGCAAAAGGGCUGCCAGAUGGAAAUGACAGUAUCCAAUGGGCUUUCUAUCCUGUAGAUAUAUAUAUAUUUUUUUCCUGAUACAUUCUUUUCAACGAAUCUAGUACAUCCUUAACUAUUCGAAUAACUUGAAUAAAUAUACCACGCCAUAUUGUAUUAAACAACAUCGCUGAGGAGAAACAACGCUGAAAA
This is a long non-coding RNA of Drosophila erecta, 386 nucleotides long. RefSeq lists it as uncharacterized. The record is from RefSeq and is a predicted model, not a curated record. The transcript is spliced from 2 exons. NCBI's taxonomy places the organism in Eukaryota, Metazoa, Arthropoda, Insecta, Diptera, Drosophilidae.